This 254-nucleotide ribosomal RNA is filed under the name uncultured bacterium. Its description in RNAcentral is "partial 16S ribosomal RNA". It matches the Rfam family "Bacterial small subunit ribosomal RNA", at positions 524 to 776 of the family's 1533-position model. The record is from RNAcentral.
AACGUAGGUACCGAGCGUUAUCCGGAUUUAUUGGGCGUAAAGAGCUCGUAGGCGGUCUGUCGCGUCGAUCGUGAAAACUUGGGGCUUAACCCUGAGCUUGCGGUCGAUACGGGCAUGACUGGAGUUCGGCAGGGGAGACUGGAAUUCCUGGUGUAGCGGUGAAAUGCGCAGAUAUCAGGAGGAACACCGGUGGCGAAGGCGGGUCUCUGGGCCGAUACUGACGCUGAGGAGCGAAAGCGUGGGGAGCGAACAGG